GCAACUACUAUAGUUUGUUGGAGAAGGACUACUUUGGAAUUCGCUAUGUGGACCCAGAGAAGCAAAGGCACUGGCUUGAGCCUAACAAGUCCAUCUUCAAGCAAAUGAAAUAGUGGCCAUACUAGUCUGCAAUUCCAUUAAGAGCAAAUAUGAAUUCUUUCUCUACAUCCUUACCAGCAUUUGUUGUUGCUUGUUCAGAAGAUGGGUAAGAUAAAAUUCCAGUUCUUUGUGUUUGCAUUUUCCUAAUUCCUAAGAAUGGCCAGAAUGUUUUGAUAUACUUCCUACCCAUUUUUUAUCUUCUUUCAAAGCUCUCUACUCAGAUCCAUAGCCUAUUUUUGAAUACUACUCAAAAAAUAGUAUUCACUCUGUUUAUUCAAUCCUUUAUAUAAUCUGGAUAUUAACCCUAUAUCCAAGGUACACAUGGCAAAAGUAUUCUAUUACUCUGUGGCUUCUACUUUACUAAAUUGAUUGUUUCCUUAGCUGUACAAAAGCUUUUUAGUAUUAUGACAUCUUACUUUUCAUUUGUUGACCCUAUUUCUUUCUGCUAAUGGAGGAAAUCUUAUUCUAAAGAUACUUUCCUAUACUUACAUCUUUCCUUCUAGCAGUUUUCUUCCACUAGUUUCAGUGGUUUUGCUUUCAUACUGGGGUGUUUAACAUAUUUAGAGUUUUUAUUAAAAUGACUCUGUAAUAUAUCUUAAGAUCUGGAGUGGAACUCUGUCCAGCAAUGGUUUUAUCCCCAGUGAACAUUGCUUUAGCUAUGUCAGGUCUUUUGUGAGUCCAUGUUAAUUUUAUGGUGUCUUUCAUUAUUCCCGUGAAGAAUGUUAUGAGGAUUUGCAUUGGUAUCCCAUAGAAUCUGUGAAUAACUUUUUAAUGAAUGGUCAUAUUUCUCGAUAUUAAUUCUACAAUCAGUGCAUAUGGGAGAUCUUUUCAUUUUUCUAGCAUCUUUCUCUAGCUCUCCUCAGUGAUUUAAAAGGUUUUCUUUGGGUUGUCCGAGGUGGAACCAGCAGGCAUAUGCGGGAACCAGGUGCAGAUGGCUGGAGGCAGCGAGUAUGGCACAGGCGCGGGGGCUGCUACGGGUGAACCAGGUGGUCCUGCCGUCAUGGCUGUCCUCCACAAAGGUCUCUUUACUCAUUGAGAGACUCUCUAACCCUAAGGACUUGAAGAAACGUCUCAGGACCCACAAUAAUGUGUUCGUGCUUUACUCAGGAUCUGAGGUGGCAGCUGAAAGUCAUCUCAAGCUACUGUCCACUGUGGCCCAAGCAGUGAAAGGACAAGGCACCAUCUGCUGGGUGGACUGUGGUGAUGUAGAGAGUAGAAAAUUGUGCAAGGAGAUGAAAGUUGACCUCAGUUCAAAGGACAAAAAGAUUGAAUUAUUCCAUUACCAGGAUGGUGCAUUUUACAUGCAAUAUGACCGAGCUCUGAUGCUGAAGUCUAUAGUGGCCUUUCUGAAGGACCCGAAAGGUCCCCCACUGUGGGAAGAAGUUCCUGGAGCCAAAGAUGUUGUACUCAUUGACAGUGUGAAGGACUUCAGACGGCUCCUGAAGAAAGAAGAGAAACCACUCUUCAUGAUGUUCUACACUCCCUGGUGCAGCAUGCGCAAGAGGAUCAUGCCACAUUUCCAGAAGGCUGCCACCCAAGUGUGAGGUCACAUUGUACUGGCUGGGAUGAACAUUCAAGAACAUCAAGGAGGAGUUUAAUGGAUGUGGCUACCCUACCAUCUGCUAUUUUGAGAAUGGACAGUUUCUGUUCCAGUAUGAGAGCUAUGGGUCUACAGCUGAGAGCAUCGUGGAGUGGUUGAAGAAUCCACAGCCACCACAGCCCCAAGUCCCCAAGACUGCCUGGGCAGAUGAGGGCGGCUCUGUUUAUCACCUGACCAAUGAAGACUUUGGCCCGUUUGUGAAGGAACACUCCUCUGUCCUCGUCAUUUUCCAUGCCCCAUGGUGUGGACACUGUAAGAAAAUGAAGCCGGAGUUUGAGAGUGCAGCUGAAGUCCUUCACACAGAUGCUGAGAGCUCUGGUGUCCUUGCAGCUGUUGAUGCCACUGUCAACAAGGCCCUGGCAGAAAGGAUUCACAUUUCAGCUGUAAGCGACGGGUCCGAAGCCUUUCGUACCCUAAAGUAUUUUAAGAAUGGCGAGCAACAAGUGGUGUCUGUGCUCAGAACAAAGAAGUUUAUUGAGUGGAUGCAGAACCCCAAGGCUCCCUGCCUCCAGAGCCCACAGGUGUCAGGGGGAAGAACAGCAGAUAAGUGUAUUACAUCUGGUGGGGAAUAACUUCUAGGAUACCCUGAAGAAGAAGAAACGUACCUUGGUUUUGUUCUAUGCCCCUUGAUACACACACUGUAAGAAGGUCAUCCCCAACUUCACCACAUCCCCAUCUUCUCCGCUGAAGCUGAUGCCUUCAAAGAUGAUCGCAAGAUUGCCUGUGCUGCUGUAGACUGUGUCAGGGACAAGAACCAAGACCUGUGUCAGCAGGAGUCAGUGAAGGCCUACCCCACCUUCCACUAUUACCACUACCGGAAGCUCAUAUGAGAGCUUCAUCCAAACCCUCCAGGAGGGAGACCUCAAGAGACUAGACAAAAGGAGGGGGGAGCUGUAAUGCCACCUCCUACAAAAGAGCCCUGCCUUUACACUGUGAAUGAGAACUAUUUUGUUCUUUGUGAAUUUCUAUGUGUGCUAAAGACAGAGUUUUUAAAGCCACAUACUGCCUUUUGUACAAUUUUGAAAUAAAAUUAACUGAUUUAUUAAAAAAGUUUUCUUUGUAGAGUUCUUUCACUUCUCUCGAGAUUACUUCUCUCACUGUCAGUAUUCCUUGGGUUGAGGCCUCAUGGGCUUUCCCUUUUCCAAAUUUGCAUAUCUAUUUUUAUUGUUAUUGCUCAGCUGAUGUGUAGGUGUUGUUGGGAUAUUAUGGGUACAGUUUAUGAUAUUAUUAAGAACACAGUCUCAUGGCAAACCUCCUGAUCCUACUGCACUUAUAAUCUUUCCACCCAAUGUUCCCCUUGUCCUUGGGUGCAGUUGGAGACACAUCCAUUAGGACUGGGCUCCACAAUUUGGCAUGUUGAUCAACUGACUCGAUUUGUUUCAAAGAGAGGUUUCAUUAAUAAUAGAUGGGUCUAAGUUGCAUGUAAUUUUUAAAAAAGCUUCCUAGUUCCUCUGCUCGGGGCCAUGCUCUAGGCUUAGCUCUGAGAUCUCACUCCCACCAGUCUCACUCGGCUCCACCAGCCUAAACUCCCUACCUAAGUCCACCAAGGGCCUGCUGGGCAUCUUAUUCCCCCAACCCCAGCUGCGAUCACUUUCCACCCCACCCUUCACACCAGCCGGUGCCUUUCCUGAGAACAAAGGGAUCUGCUGUUCGCACUCCACUGGCUGCCCACUUUCUCCUCUUGCCCACCUAGUGCCACAGAUGGAAAACACUAUACAAUCUCAAUAUUGUAAAACUAAGCAGAUAACGCAAUGGCUGGGCAAAGAAUUUCUUGCCCUAAUCUUGGCAACUAGCUCUUUCCAUUCUCCUUGGCCUCCACCCAUGGCAGAAGCUACAAACUAUAGGGGCCCUGAGACCUA
Rattus rattus (black rat) is the source of this 3558-nucleotide RNA transcript. It is a transcript of the gene named protein disulfide-isomerase A5-like, with no coding region annotated. The record is from RefSeq and is a predicted model, not a curated record. Lineage: Eukaryota; Metazoa; Chordata; Mammalia; Rodentia; Muridae. The transcript is spliced from 4 exons.